AAAAUAAUCCUACCCUUUGUGAAUUUUGUUUGUUUGAAUAAUUUUUUUUUUAAAAAAUUAUUGGAGUCUUUCCCUCUUAGUUUGCUUUUGAGUUUGUAAAAGAAUUCGAAAACAUCUAAAGGGGAUGGUCAAUAAUUUUUUUGAAAAAAGACAUUUUUUAAAAUUAAACUUUUUGUAUUCAUUUGUCUAAAAAUUAUUUUUAUAAUAUAAAAACAACUUUUGACAAUGGAUCUCUUGGUUCUCGCAACGAUGAGAACGCAGCAAAAUGCGAUAAGUAGUGUGAAUUGCAGAAUACGUGAAUCAUCGAAUCUUUGAACGCAUAUUGCACUUUUUUAGUUUACUAAAAAAGUAUGUCUGUUUGAGUAUCAGUAAAAUAUUCUCAUAAAAAUCAUUGUGUAUUUUUAUGGUUAUGAGUGUUUUACAACGAUACAAGUUGUUUCACUUUAAAUUUUUUUUAAUAUUGAAAUUUUUCUAAUUUUAAUAAUUAAAAUUGGAUAAAAUUUUCCCGUCAAAAGGAAUAACCUAAACAAUUUUAAAUGAUUAAUUUUAGCAAAAUUUUCGAAAAAGGAAAAUUUUUAUUAAAAUAACUUGAUCUCAAAUCAGAUAAGAGUACCCGCCGAACUUAAGCAUAUCAAUAAGCGGAGGAAAAGAAACUAACAAGGGUUCCCUUAGUAACGGCGAGUGAAGCGGGAAGAGCUCAAAUUUGAAAUCUUCAAGGUUUUACCUUGACGAAUUGUAGUUUAAAGAAGUGUUUUCUGCUGAAGUUUUGGUAAAAGUUCUUUGGAAUAGGACAUCAUAGAGGGUGAGAAUCCCGUAUUUGACCAUUAUUUUCAGCUUUGUGAUACACUUUCAAAGAGUCGGAUUGUUUGGGAAUGCAGUCAAAAUGGGUGGUAAAUUUCAUCUAAAGCUAAAUAUUGGCGAGAGACCGAUAGCGAACAAGUACCGUGAGGGAAAGAUGAAAAGAACUUUGAAAAGAGAGUUAAACAGUACGUGAAAUUGUCAAAAGGGAAGCGUUUGACACCAGUGUUGUUUUCUCGAAAAUCAAUUAAAAAUGGCUCGAUUUUGUAUUGCUGAGACCUUAAAAGCUCACUGUACAUUUUUCGUGUCUUUUUUAAUGCACUUUUCGUUUAACAAGUCAACAUCAGUUUCUUUUGUUGUAAAAGGGUCAUUGGAAGGUGGCUUUCUUUUCGGAGAAAGUGUUUAUAGCCUUUGGCCUCUGCAAUCGAAGAGACUGAGGUCUGCAGCGUAGACUCUUCGGGGUUAGAUACAUUUGUGCUAAGUUAUAGCUUUUUAUAGACAACUUGUUGACUAUAAUUAGUCUUGUAGCUUACUCGCUUAUGCUAUUU
Molecule: unclassified non-coding RNA, 1346 nt
Filed under: uncultured Neocallimastigales
Lineage: Eukaryota; Fungi; Neocallimastigomycota; Neocallimastigomycetes; Neocallimastigales
Description: partial contains internal transcribed spacer 1, 5.8S ribosomal RNA, internal transcribed spacer 2, and large subunit ribosomal RNA
Rfam family: Eukaryotic large subunit ribosomal RNA (bases 590-1346)
Source: RNAcentral